UUAAAGGCAAAGAAGAGGAGUAGUAGUCCUGAUCCUUGUAGUGCCCUCCAGAAAGGGAGAUGCUCAGAGAGCCGGUGGGUGGUGUGAACCGGUACAAGGAAUGGAUGAACUCGCCUCGGAGCCGCUUCGGUGAAUGGAACAUUUUGAUGUUCUGCCAGCCGAAGUCGUUUCCCGCGUAAAGGGAUAAACGAGGUCCGCCUGCGGGUGGACGAAAAAGGGUGGUACCGCGGAGCACAAGCCUUCGCCCCUUUG
RNAcentral lists this non-coding RNA (252 nucleotides) under Geobacter pickeringii. RNAcentral describes it as "T-box sequence". It matches the Rfam family "T-box leader". From Rfam's summary of the family: Uncharged tRNA acts as the effector for transcription antitermination of genes in the T-box leader family. T-boxes are found upstream of many aminoacyl-tRNA synthetase genes and some amino acid biosynthetic genes usually in Gram-positive bacteria. The record is from RNAcentral. Lineage: Bacteria; Pseudomonadati; Thermodesulfobacteriota; Desulfuromonadia; Geobacterales; Geobacteraceae.